Molecule: ribosomal RNA, 394 nt
Filed under: uncultured bacterium
Lineage: Bacteria
Description: partial 16S ribosomal RNA
Rfam family: Bacterial small subunit ribosomal RNA
Source: RNAcentral
AUACGUAGGGAGCGAGCGUUGUCCGGAAUUACUGGGCGUAAAGGGCGCGUAGGCGGCGCUUCAAGUCGUCUGUCAAAUGGGAGGGCUUAACCCUUUUUCGCAGACGAAACUGGAGAGAUUGAGAAGCAGAGAGGCAAACAGAAUUCCUGGUGUAGCGGUGAAAUGCGUAGAUAUCAGGAAGAAUACCAGUGGCGAAGGCGGUUUGCUGGCUGCAUACUGACGCUGAAGCGCGAAAGCCAGGGGAGCAAACGGGAUUAGAUACCCCGGUAGUCCUGGCAGUAAACGAUGUAUGCUGGGUGUGAGACUAGCGAUAGUUUCGUGCCGAAGUUAACGCGAUAAGCAUACCGCCUGGGGAGUACGGUCGCAAGAUUGAAACUCAAAGGAAUUGACGGGG